CACUAUGGCAUGGAAUGCAAACUCUCCCUCAGAAGAUAAGCAGGAAUGGUCUUGGUUCGUCCUUGGAUGGGUGACUAUGUGGGAAUUCCAAAUGCUGUAGGCU
RNAcentral lists this ribosomal RNA (103 nucleotides) under Salvator merianae (Argentine black and white tegu). The record is from RNAcentral. Lineage: Eukaryota; Metazoa; Chordata; Lepidosauria; Squamata; Teiidae.